AUGGACCCUACCCACGCGACGACGGGGUAGGCCGGCCUGCCUAAGGGUGUGUCGGCCCACACUGGCGACUGAGAUACGGCCCGAAUUCCUACGGGAGGCAGCAGUAGGGAAUAAUGCACAAUGGGCGCAAGCAUGAUGCAGCAACGCCGCGGGGGGGAUGACGGCCUCCGGGUUGUAAAAAACUUUCACCACCGGCGAAGAAGCUGGGCCAGGGGUGACGGUAGGUGGAGAAGAAGCAGCGGCCAACUACGUGGCAGCAGCCGCGGUAAUACGUAGGGUGCGAGCGUUGUCCGGAAUUACUAGGCGUAAAAAGCUCGUAGCGCGUUGAAAUUACCCCCCUUAUCAGGGGGGGGACCGCCGAUACGGCCGGACGUGAGUACUGCAGGGGAGGCUGGAAUUCCUGGUGUAGUGGUGGAAUG
This 419-nucleotide ribosomal RNA is filed under the name uncultured soil bacterium. RNAcentral describes it as "partial 16S ribosomal RNA". It matches the Rfam family "Bacterial small subunit ribosomal RNA", at positions 260 to 688 of the family's 1533-position model. The record is from RNAcentral.